UGGGGAAUAUUGCACAAUGGGCGCAAGCCUGAUGCAGCCAUGCCGCGUGUAUGAAGAAGGCCUUCGGGCUGUAAAGUACUUUCAGCGGGGAGGAAGGCGUUGAGGUUAAUAACCUCAGCAAUUGACGUUACCCGCAGAAGAAGCACCGGCUAACUCCGUGCCAGCAGCCGCGGUAAUACGGAGGGUGCAAGCGUUAAUCGGAAUUACUGGGCGUAAAGCGCACGCAGGCGGUCUGUCAAGUCGGAUGUGAAAUCCCCGGGCUCAACCUGGGAACUGCAUUCGAAACUGGCAGGCUAGAGUCUUGUAGAGGGGGGUAGAAUUCCAGGUGUAGCGGUGAAAUGCGUAGAGAUCUGGAGGAAUACCGGUGGCGAAGGCGGCCCCCUGGACAAAGACUGACGCUCAGGUGCGAAAGCGUGGGGAGCAAACA
This 427-nucleotide ribosomal RNA is filed under the name uncultured bacterium. RNAcentral describes it as "partial 16S ribosomal RNA". It matches the Rfam family "Bacterial small subunit ribosomal RNA", at positions 355 to 774 of the family's 1533-position model. The record is from RNAcentral.